AGCCUGCUAGCUCAGUCGGUUAGAGCGUCGUGCUAAUAACGCGAAGGUAGAAGGUUCGAUCCCUGCGCAGGCCA
RNAcentral lists this transfer RNA (74 nucleotides) under Dermacentor silvarum. RNAcentral describes it as "transfer RNA isoleucine (anticodon AAU)". It matches the Rfam family "tRNA". Rfam says of the family: Transfer RNA (tRNA) molecules are approximately 80 nucleotides in length. Their secondary structure includes four short double-helical elements and three loops (D, anti-codon, and T loops). The record is from RNAcentral. Lineage: Eukaryota; Metazoa; Arthropoda; Arachnida; Ixodida; Ixodidae.